CAUGAUGAAGAAAUAUGUAAUCACGUUCUAUAGUUGGUGAGGGCAUAAUUUAUGAUAAUGGAUUACACAAGGGUUUUGAAAGUAUUCUGAAGUAAGUAAUGAAUUAUGGAUUAUACUAUAGAUUGUUAUAGAGGCAUGAGUAAGACAUGAUUUAUAGUUGGUUAUAUUGGGGUGAAUUUAAGAAUUGUGGUGUUAUGACAUUGC
This 204-nucleotide long non-coding RNA is filed under the name Olea europaea (common olive). RNAcentral describes it as "long non-coding RNA (OEUR_LNC000937)". The record is from RNAcentral. Lineage: Eukaryota; Viridiplantae; Streptophyta; Magnoliopsida; Lamiales; Oleaceae.